Molecule: ribosomal RNA, 528 nt
Filed under: uncultured bacterium
Lineage: Bacteria
Description: bacterial SSU rRNA
Rfam family: Bacterial small subunit ribosomal RNA
Source: RNAcentral
UUGACAUCCAGAGAAUUUAGCAGAGAUGCUUUAGUGCCUUCGGGAACUCUGAGACAGGUGCUGCAUGGCUGUCGUCAGCUCGUGUUGUGAAAUGUUGGGUUAAGUCCGCAACGAGCGCAACCCUUAUCCUUUGUUGCCAGCACGUAAUGGUGGGAACUCAAAGGAGACUGCCGGUGAUAAACCGGAGGAAGGUGGGGAUGACGUCAAGUCAUCAUGGCCCUUACGAGUAGGGCUACACACGUGCUACAAUGGCGUAUACAAAGAGAAGCGACCUCGCGAGAGCAAGCGGACCUCAUAAAGUGCGUCGUAGUCCGGAUUGGAGUCUGCAACUCGACUCCAUGAAGUCGGAAUCGCUAGUAAUCGUAAAUCAGAAUGUUACGGUGAAUACGUUCCCGGGCCUUGUACACACCGCCCGUCACACCAUGGGAGUGGGUUGCAAAAGAAGUAGAUAGCUUAACCUUCGGGAGGGCGUUUACCACUUUGUGAUUCAUGACUGGGGUGAAGUCGUAACAAGGUAAGCGUAGUGCU